This 591-nucleotide ribosomal RNA is filed under the name Streptococcus macedonicus. Its description in RNAcentral is "bacterial SSU rRNA". It matches the Rfam family "Bacterial small subunit ribosomal RNA", at positions 56 to 629 of the family's 1533-position model. The record is from RNAcentral. Lineage: Bacteria; Bacillati; Bacillota; Bacilli; Lactobacillales; Streptococcaceae.
UGCAAGUAGAACGCUGAAGACUUUAGCUUGCUAGAGUUGGAAGAGUUGCGAACGGGUGAGUAACGCGUAGGUAACCUGCCUAUUAGUGGGGGAUAACUAUUGGAAACGAUAGCUAAUACCGCAUAAUAGUGUUUAACACAUGUUAGAGACUUGAAAGAUGCAAUUGCGAUCACUAGUAGAUGGACCUGCGUUGUAUUAGCUAGUUGGUGGGGUAACGGCCUACCAAGGCGACGAUACAUAGCCGACCUGAGAGGGUGAUCGGCCACACUGGGACUGAGACACGGCCCAGACUCCUACGGGAGGCAGCAGUAGGGAAUCUUCGGCAAUGGGGGCAACCCUGACCGAGCAACGCCGCGUGAGUGAAGAAGGUAUUCGGAUCGUAAAGCUCUGUUGUAAGAGAAGAACGUGUGUGAGAGUGGAAUGUACACACAGUGACGGUAACUUACCAGAAUGGGACGGCUAACUACGUGCCAGCAGCCGCGGUAAUACGUAGGUCCCGAGCGUGGUCCGGAUUUAUUGGGCGUAAAGCGAGCGCAGGCGGAUACCUAAGUCUGAAGUUAAAGGCAGUGGCUUACCCAUGGUUCGCUUUGG